GAUGAACGCUGGCGGCGUGCCUAAUACAUGCAAGUCGAGCGAACAGACGAGGAGCUUGCUCCUCUGACGUUAGCGGCGGACGGGUGAGUAACACGUGGAUAACCUACCUAUAAGACUGGGAUAACUUCGGGAAACCGGAGCUAAUACCGGAUAAUAUAUUGAACCGCAUGGUUCAAUAGUGAAAGACGGUUUUGCUGUCACUUAUAGAUGGAUCCGCGCCGCAUUAGCUAGUUGGUAAGGUAACGGCUUACCAAGGCAACGAUGCGUAGCCGACCUGAGAGGGUGACCGGCCACACGUGAACUGAGACACGGUCCAGACUCCUACGGGAGGCAGCAUUAGGGAAUCUUCCGCAAUGGGCGAAAGCCUGACGGAGCAACGCCGCGUGAGUGAUGAAGGUCUUCGGAUCUUAAAACUCUGUUAUUAGGGAAGAACAAAUGUGUAAGUAACUAUGCACGUCUUGACGGUACCUAAUCAGAAAGCCACGGCUAACUACGUG
RNAcentral lists this ribosomal RNA (497 nucleotides) under uncultured bacterium. Its description in RNAcentral is "partial 16S ribosomal RNA". It matches the Rfam family "Bacterial small subunit ribosomal RNA", at positions 28 to 507 of the family's 1533-position model. The record is from RNAcentral.